GCUGUGAGCUCGGAUAGAAAAAUGUAUCAACCACCACGAACAGGUUGGUGUAUUGGGGCGGAUUGUUCUGUCCUCUGUAUUUCAGACCAAAGCAAGACAAUGUUUAAAGCUCGCUAUGGAUCUACUAACAGGAUCCAUUUUGAGACGACAGAUCAGAAAACACGAUAUGGAGAGAACUAAAAAAUAAAGGGUCAGUGGUCUAAAAUGAGUCUCUCUGGGGAGAGAGAGG
Molecule: long non-coding RNA, 229 nt
Organism: Coregonus clupeaformis (lake whitefish)
Lineage: Eukaryota; Metazoa; Chordata; Actinopteri; Salmoniformes; Salmonidae
Exons: 4
Source: RefSeq, a predicted model, not a curated record